GUGAACAGCCAUGCCACCCUGAACAAGCCCAAUCCCGUCUGAUCUCGGAAGCUAAGCAGGGUCAGGCCUGGUUAGAAGUUGGAUGGGAGACCACCUAGGAAGACCAAGUGCUAUAGGCA
Molecule: ribosomal RNA, 119 nt
Filed under: Pteropus alecto (black flying fox)
Lineage: Eukaryota; Metazoa; Chordata; Mammalia; Chiroptera; Pteropodidae
Source: RNAcentral